This 496-nucleotide ribosomal RNA is filed under the name uncultured bacterium. Its description in RNAcentral is "partial 16S ribosomal RNA". It matches the Rfam family "Bacterial small subunit ribosomal RNA", at positions 28 to 507 of the family's 1533-position model. The record is from RNAcentral.
GAUGAACGCUGGCGGCGUGCCUAUACAUGCAAGUCGAGCGAACAGACGAGGAGCUUGCUCCUCUGACGUUAGCGGCGGACGGGUGAGUAACACGUGGAUAACCUACCUAUAAGACUGGGAUAACUUCGGGAAACCGGAGCUAAUACCGGAUAAUAUAUUGAACCGCAUGGUUCAAUAGUGAAAGACGGUUUUGCUGUCACUUAUAGAUGGAUCCGCGCCGCAUUAGCUAGCUGGUAAGGUAACGGCUUACCAAGGCAACGAUGCGUAGCCGACCUGAGAGGGUGAUCGGCCACACUGGAACUGAGACACGGUCCAGACUCCUACGGGAGGCAGCAGUAGGGAAUCUUCCGCAAUGGGCGAAAGCCUGACGGAGCAACGCCGCGUGAGUGAUGAAGGUCUUCGGAUCGUAAAACUCUGUUAUUAGGGAAGAACAAAUGUGUAAGUAACUAUGCACGUCUUGACGGUACCUAAUCAGAAAGCCACGGCUAACUACGUG